Molecule: ribosomal RNA, 253 nt
Filed under: uncultured bacterium
Lineage: Bacteria
Description: partial 16S ribosomal RNA
Rfam family: Bacterial small subunit ribosomal RNA
Source: RNAcentral
UACGGGGGGGGCAAGCGUUGUUCGGAAUUACUGGGCGUAAAGGGCUCGUAGGCGGCCAACUAAGUCGGAUGUGAAAUCCCCAGGCUUAACCUGGGAACUGCAUCCGAUACUGGAUGGCUUGAAUCCGGGAGAGGGAUGCAGAAUUCCAGGUGUAGCGGUGAAAUGCGUAGAUAUCUGGAGGAAUACCGGUGGCGAAGGCGGCAUCCUGGACCGGCAUUGACGCUGAGACGCGAAAGCGUGGGGAGCGAACAGG